UGGAAUCGAAAAUCAACCUACCUAUCGAAGUGUUUUCAUUGUUCUUUGAAGAAAAUCUAUGAGCCCGAUAUGGUCCUUCCGUUGCGCUGUAAAAAUGCCGAAUUCGAUAAAUUUACCAGAAAGUAAAACACUGCAGGGUAAAAAUAUCAGGCUCGGAUUUCCACUCAUUUUCAUGAUGCUGUAAAUAUAUUAGAUUUUCGCUUUACCUUUUCUUCCCAAUUUUCUACUGGAAAAAAAAAACCCAAUCUCAAUCAAAAUUCCAAACCCUCUUUCUUCUUCGUUUUCAAAUCUGUUAUAAUUUAGAUGGAAGGGCGGUCAUCAAAUCAAAAUGUUGAUGUAAUUUCAAAAUCUAGGGUUACUUCAAUCCUUCUCUACUAGUAUUUCUUAUGAUUCAUGUAUUCACAUCAAUGAGUUUGGAGGAAGAAAAUGGAUGUUUACAAGAGAUUUAAUCAGCAUUUACGAAAAUUCCUUAUUGUAUGGGGGCCUCUGAGAAGAAGAUAAUGUCAACUAUGAAUUUCCUUGUGAAUGAAGUGGGUUAUGAGUCCUUGAGUAUUGAUUGAAUAAGAGGAUUAUCCCAAGGUGUUAUAUUAUCAGGAUUUUAGUCUCUAAGGGUCUCAUUAAGGAGAGGAUUUCCAAGUCUUUCUUGGAGAAAUUUGUAACAAGGUAUGAGCAAGAAGUUCCUGAACUAAUGAAGAUAUUCCAAGGUCCAACAGUUACUUCAAAAAUGAAGUAUUUUGUGAGAUGAAUGCGCAGUACUGGGUAUGCCUUGAUAGAGAGAAAGGAAUCAUAUAUAUUGGUUCUGUGUAUUUUCUGGCAACAUGGUGAAUAGAAAAUGGGAUAAAUAGAAGCUUCACAAAGAUUUGUUUUAUGCGCCGUUCUGAUAUUUAUUUCAUUAACAGUCAACCGUCCGCGACCACUGAAUGGCCUUUGCUCAGUAAUCUUUCGAACCAUGACUAGCUAUUGGCAACCAGUCAGAGUUCCACCUCCUGCAGCAUCAACAUAAUCGUCGUUGCUGCUAAGAUAACUGGGUGUCUUCAAAGACCUGCUGAGGCAGACAAAAUACUAAUCUGAUGAUCAUACUGUCUGUUUUACUGUUUUUAGUUUGUUUUACUGUCAGAAGGAUUCCUUGAAGUUCUAUUUAGAUACUAAUCGACCAAUGUAGUUUGUUUGUGAGAUAGUAGUUUGCACCAAGAGAGUUUUAUUUUAUUGCAUUUUGAGAGUGUUGGUUUUUCGUCACUUAGGAAAACCUUGGCCGCCACUAAAGAAAUGCAUGUCUCAGAAAUGAAGCAACUUGCCGAGCAAA
This is a long non-coding RNA of Papaver somniferum (opium poppy), 1303 nucleotides long. RefSeq lists it as uncharacterized. The record is from RefSeq and is a predicted model, not a curated record. The transcript has 2 exons. Lineage: Eukaryota; Viridiplantae; Streptophyta; Magnoliopsida; Ranunculales; Papaveraceae.